Molecule: long non-coding RNA, 3746 nt
Organism: Peromyscus californicus insignis
Lineage: Eukaryota; Metazoa; Chordata; Mammalia; Rodentia; Cricetidae
Exons: 5
Source: RefSeq, a predicted model, not a curated record
CGACCUUGUUAGGCACGUUUUCCCCAUCUUCUGGUGUUUGCGCUCGCCCCCGCCCGCGUGUCUCUACACCCUUUGCCAGCGCAGUGAGGACCAAAGGGCUCUCUCUCUCUCUCUCUUUCCUCUCUUCCUAGCUGAACCCUUCUGCUCGGAAAUAAGAAGCUUUUCCCCUGUGAGAGCGGUGCUGACCUGAUUGUCUCUAAGCUCUCCGGCAAUUUAUAGCUUGGUAAUACCAAGAGAUGCCAAACAGAGGCUCAGAGGCUUGGAGGGAAGGGCGGGCUGGAUGGCUGACUGGCCCGGGGUGGAGCCCAGCUCCCCAGGGCAGGAACCUUUGCUCCACAGGUUGCUGAGAGGUUGGAUUUUCUGCUAUCGUGUCAUCUACUUAAGCCAAUAUUGAGACAGAAUCUUUGCUUAAAUGUGAAAAUCUGCAAGAACUUGCUCAUUGGGGCUGAAGAGAUGGCUUGGCUGUGAAGAACUGUACUGCUCUUGCAGAGGACACAAGGUCGUGUCCUAGCAUCAGAGUAAGGCAGCUUACAACUGCCUGUAGGUUCCAGGGGAUCUGACAACCUCUUUUGGCCUCCAUGGGUGCCUGUAUGUUUAUGUUUGGUCACCCUGACUAUGCUUCCUGCUCAGCUACUGGUCAAUCAGCAUUUUAUUAAACCAGUUCAAGUGAUAAAUCUUUACAGUGCACAAGGGAAUUUUUCUGCAGCAGAUAAAGGAUAUAACUAGGAAAAAAAACAACCUCAGCGACGUAACCCAGACCCAGAAAGAUGAAUAUGGAAAUUAUGUUGGCCACAUUGACUGAUGUGAGAAGACCUGUCCACCGUGGGUGGCACAAUUCCCUAGGGAGCAGAUCCUGAACUCGGUAUGAUCAGAGAAGGUGGAAAAAACAAUUAUAAACAACGAAAAAAUAUUAAUAUGAUAUUACAAUUAUCAAGCAAUUGUAGAAACAGCACUCAACUCCUCCGUGAAAAUGAAGCAAACACAGAAGAAAAAGCUAAGUAUAGUUUUUAUCUUCUAUACGACCUAAAACAAAAUUACCUUUCUUGUGUUCUGUUUGUCUCUUAUUAUCCUGGGAACUUUAAAACUAGAAAAUGUAGUUUAUUUGUGACAACAAUAUCUAGUCCUGGAAUCUCUAGGAAGAGUUUAUAACAUGUGCAAAUAAUAAGGGACUUUCUUUGCAGUUUUCACAUACAAUGGGUAAAACUGUUAUUUUGUUUUCAUUAUUUUCAGGAUGUAAAAAAAAAAUCAACGUCAGUCAGGAGAGAAAGACAGAAUUGGCAAUGCUUUUUGUUUCUCUUCGAGGUGAUGGACAUUAAGCUUGUGUCAACAUCAACAAAAAUUUCCUUAGCCUCUUACAAUUGCAUAUUUCUAUCUGAGAAAUCUUGGAGGUACAUACUACCUCUCAAUGGUUAGGACACAUUUUGUCAAUUUACUGUCAAAAUACUCAUUCAAGUGCCAAUUUGAAAAGUAAUCAGUAGUUUUAUUAAGAGUAAAAUAACCCAUUAUUAGUUUUUUUAAAGGUUUCCUUUGUCACCUUUCAAAUUGAGUUUUGAAGGUUUAAGUACUUCAAAAUCAAUAAUAAAAAUAGGGUUUUCAGAAUACAUUUUAUUUGUCUUACCAUAGCAGAAAAGAGAUCCUGGGGAUUGGACAGAGUGCUGUAUCUGAGUUGGAGAUUAGCUUCACAAAGAGAACAAAGUGUCCCUGUAUUAUCUUUUUCUAAUAUUUAACAUUCUUUGAGACUCAUAACUCAAAUCAUAAAGACCUUGAAGACACUGCACUAAUGCCCUACUUUUAAUGCCUCUAUAAUAAUACCAGAAAAGAUAUUUAGCUUGCAAAUUUUUUUUUAAGCUGAGAGUUGUAAUGUCUUGUGGGACAGGAUAACUGCAUGUGAAAGUCAUAAAAUAUCCAAAGACAGUACAAAUUUCUGAAUGCCCAACAACCAAAAUGUAAUUCAAAAUCAAAUAACAUAGUCAGAGUAAGUUGUCUCUGUCAGUGCUUGCCUGUGUGGUGUCACAGGACUACACUGCAGUCUUGGUUCUGAACACAACAUGAGCACCCUGUGGUAUGCACAUCAUCAUAUCAGGCAAUACCAACAAUGCUGCCUGGGAUGUGUCACUAUAGAUCUGAGAUUAUUAAACGGUUUGAACUGGAGUGUUUUUACUACAUGUGAUGUGGGUUUUAUCUUAAAUUUUGCUGUUUAUAUCCUUAUUAAUGUCUCCUUAUGCAGUCUUGGCUGGACCUGAACCUACAAUGUAGACAAGGCUGGCUCAAACUCACAGAGCUCUGCUUGUCUCUGCCUCUCAAGUUUUUCCAGGCUAAAGAGUCUUCCAUAAAGACUCUUUCAAGGGAAGGCUCUGAGAUUUAGAUUAGGUUAUGUUCUUAUCAUGAACCAACACCUUAACCACUUUAUAAUAAAGAUAUAUUUCAUGUUGUGACAAUGAUCAUCCUCAUGGUGAAUUGCCUGGAAGGCAGCUACACGCUAUCACUCUUACCCUGUAUAUUCUAGUUUGUUAUGCAGCCAUUUCUCCUUAAUUAAAAUAUUCUCUCCUGGAGGAAAUUUAAAGACUUGGAAGUAAAUGAAACUUACAAGUCUCAGGGAGCCCAUGAAACUUACAGGAUUCACAAGACCCCUUACCCAAGGUUAUAAGCACUUAGCAAUUGCUACGGAGAUGCUGCCAUUGGCUCAGCUGCCUGUAAUUACUACAAGGAGUUCCUGGUAUGCUAGGGUGGACUUUUUGGUGAUAGAUCUGCUUCUGAGUCACUCAUGGACUGGUAAGCAACCCCAACAAACUCACUAGUUGACUAAGUUAGACUUGAGUGGAAUUAUUUCUUAAGUCUGUUUUUUGUGCUCUUUCUUGGGUGAAUACAUAUCUGUAACCGGAGUUUUCUCCAAUCCCACUUGGGCCCACAGCUGCUUAGAACCAAGUAAACACACAGAGACGCAUAUUACUUAUAAACUGUAUGGCCGUGGCAGGCUUCUUGCUAUCUGUUCUUAUAUCUUAAAUUAAUCCAUUUCUAUUAAUCUAUAAGUUGCCACAUGGCUUGUGGCUUACCAGUACUUUACAUUUUACUUCUUAUGGUGGCAGUGGCUGGCAGCAUCUCCUGAUUCAGCCUUCCACUUCCCAGAAUUCUCCGCUCUCCUCUCUUGCCUAUAAUAUACUUCCUGCCUGGCUACUGGCCAAUCAGCAUUUUAUUUAUCAAUCAUUCAGAGGAACACAUUCACAGCAUACAGAGGGAUCAAUAUCCACAGUAGAUAUCAUUAUUCUAUAUGUCACAUUGUAAGACUAAAAAUCAAACCACUCUGUGUAGUUUUAUCAACAUAACAUGGAGAGAAAGGGAAGAUGCCAUACUGGGAAAUAGUUGGUAGGUCUUACUAUAACACAUAACUCUUCCACUAAAAAUUCACCAAACUGGACAUUCAGUUUCAUGCAGUCAAAGGUCAUGAAGAUUUUAUUAUUAUACCUUUGCCAUUUAUGUUUUCCUUUUCUGGAACAUCUACGACUCCUCUUACAACUCUGUUAGUAAUCUUAACAUGAGAGUGAGAUAUUCCAGAAUACAUAUCAUACCCAAUUCCCCUGGUCUAUAUUUUAAACAUUCACAUGUUUGUCCCAGAAUGAGAACUGAAUAAAUAUUUGCAGAAUGAGUUAAUAUACAAUAUCAACCUUUAAAAUUUCAUUUGUAUAUCUAUAAUAUAUACAUAGUUCUCUAACAUUUCAUAUACUUUUGAAUAUCAAUAUUAAGAGGGA